RNAcentral lists this ribosomal RNA (497 nucleotides) under uncultured bacterium. RNAcentral's name for it is "partial 16S ribosomal RNA". It matches the Rfam family "Bacterial small subunit ribosomal RNA", at positions 28 to 507 of the family's 1533-position model. The record is from RNAcentral.
GACGAACGCUGGCGGCGUGCCUAAUACAUGCAAGUUGAGCGCUGAAGGUUGGUACUUGUACCAACUGGAUGAGCAGCGAACGGGUGAGUAACGCGUGGGGAAUCUGCCUUUGAGCGGGGGACAACAUUUGGAAACGAAUGCUAAUACCGCAUAAAAACUUUAAACACAAGUUUUAAGUUUGAAAGAUGCAAUUGCAUCACUCAAAGAUGAUCCCGCGUUGUAUUAGCUAGUUGGUGAGGUAAAGGCUCACCAAGGCGAUGAUACAUAGCCGACCUGAGAGGGUGAUCGGCCACAUUGGGACUGAGACACGGCCCAAACUCCUACGGGAGGCAGCAGUAGGGAAUCUUCGGCAAUGGACGAAAGCCUGACCGAGCAACGCCGCGUGAGUGAAGAAGGUUUUCGGAUCGUAAAACUCUGUUGGUAGAGAAGAACGUUGGUGAGAGUGGAAAGCUCGUCAAGUGACGGUAACUACCCAGAAAGGGACGGCUAACUACGUG